AUUGAACGCUGGCGGCAGGCCUAACACAUGCAAGUCGAACGAGUGGCGGACGGGUGAGUAAUGUCUGGGCAACUGCCCGAUGGAGGGGGCUAACUACUGGAAACAGUAGCUAAUACCGCAUACCAUCGGAUGUGCCCAGAUGGGAUUAGCUAGUAGGGGUGCUAACGGCUCACCAGGGCGACGAUCCCUAGCUGGUCUGAGAGGAUGACCAGCCACACUGGAACUGAGACACGGUCCAGACUCCUACGGGAGGCAGCAGUGGGGAAUAUUGCACAAUGGGCGCAAGCCUGAUGCAGCCAUGCCGCGUGUAUGAAGAAGGCCUUCGGGUUGUAAAGUACUUUCAGCGAGGAGGCGUUACUCGAAGAAGAAGCACCGGCUAACUACGUGCCAGCAGCCGCGGUAAUUC
RNAcentral lists this ribosomal RNA (406 nucleotides) under uncultured bacterium. RNAcentral describes it as "partial 16S ribosomal RNA". It matches the Rfam family "Bacterial small subunit ribosomal RNA", at positions 30 to 526 of the family's 1533-position model. The record is from RNAcentral.